GCAGUCGCGGCCAAGUUAAGGCGAUGGACUAGAAAUUCAUUGGGGUCUCCCCGCACAGGUUCGAAUCCUGUUGACUGCG
This is a non-coding RNA of Ixodes scapularis (black-legged tick), 79 nucleotides long. Lineage: Eukaryota; Metazoa; Arthropoda; Arachnida; Ixodida; Ixodidae. The record is from Rfam.